Molecule: long non-coding RNA, 915 nt
Organism: Cannabis sativa
Lineage: Eukaryota; Viridiplantae; Streptophyta; Magnoliopsida; Rosales; Cannabaceae
Exons: 4
Source: RefSeq, a predicted model, not a curated record
AUUCUAAUUAAUAAGGAAUACCCAAUAUUCAAAAUCUCUCUUCCUUGAUUAAUUUUCUGAUUUCGUUCCAAUUUCCCACUUGGGGGGAAGGCAAAACUCCAAGGCUUCUCCUCUCUUUUGCUUCGUCUUACAGGCUGGUUGAAGGUAGUUUCAAUUGCCCAAGGCGAAUUGUCCUGGAUGAGAGGCUAAGCUGCAAUGAAAAUUCAUCUGCAGCAUUAAUUGGUACACUGCUCCAUCAGAUUUUGCUUCUUUAGGCUCAACAUACGAAGGAGAUGCCUACAGUAAUUUGAGUGAGAUCAGCUAUGAAUCAUGUUAAGGAUACAAAUAGAACAUUAAUUGAAGCCAUCCCCAAAUUAUUGAAUUGGGUGGUGAACCUCUUCAAAUAUCCACUACAGGUACCAAAGUCAUAUUGAUUCGUGUCUUGUAUACUAUCUCCAGUCAGAUCAGACAAAGGUAAUGAAGAGAUAUUUGUAUAUUUGCAGGGAGAGAUGAGGAUUGCAUAAUUGUGAGGUUUGUAAGGUCUAGUGAAAAUCCAAGAAACUGUAGUGUUCCUCACUUCUUGGAGACUGGCAUAGGAUUAACGUUGCUCUUAUAAGAGCCAAGAGAAAAAGUUGAUAAUGGUUGGAUCAUGUAGGACUCUAUCAAAGGUUCCGCUGCUGAAGCUUCCAAUCGAGAAAGUUGAAGAGCAAUCGAGCAUUGUUUGUGCUCCCAAGAAGGGUAGCUCAACAGGUGUUCACAGUCACAAUUAAGAACUUGAGAUGAUAGUAUAAUUAGGAGAGCAUUUUGUAUUCAAGUGUAGAUAUAAAAUUUUGGUGAUUAUUUGUGCAACCAAAUAAUGUUGAGAUUGUGCUAUUGUAUAGGUGAACAGUGAAUUUAUAACAGUUUCAGAAAUGUAACAAAAAUGUUGUUUCUUUU